GGACACCCUGGGUCUGCAUUGCCUAGGGUUGGUGGACCUCAUGUUGGAACCGGUCCUGGUCACAUGUAUCCCCCACCACCUGCACAUACACCUGUUCCUGGGAGCUUUAUGCCAGUUACUAAUCCAGGUUUAACUCAGAGACCUGGUACGGGCCCUGUGCAACCCCCCAGCCCAACUCAGUCAAUGCAUGUGCAACCACCUGCCGCAGCUCCGGCAGCUCCUCCUCCCACUGUGCAAACAGUGAAUACUUCAGAUGUACCUGCUGAGCUGAGACCUGUUAUCAGUACUUUGACCAGACUUUUCCACGAAACAUCCGAGAUUCUUGGUGGUGCCCGAG
RNAcentral lists this unclassified non-coding RNA (337 nucleotides) under Hevea brasiliensis (rubber tree). The record is from RNAcentral. Lineage: Eukaryota; Viridiplantae; Streptophyta; Magnoliopsida; Malpighiales; Euphorbiaceae.